This 495-nucleotide ribosomal RNA is filed under the name uncultured Peptoniphilus sp. RNAcentral's name for it is "bacterial SSU rRNA". It matches the Rfam family "Bacterial small subunit ribosomal RNA", at positions 10 to 507 of the family's 1533-position model. The record is from RNAcentral. Lineage: Bacteria; Bacillati; Bacillota; Tissierellia; Tissierellales; Peptoniphilaceae.
AGUUUGACUCUCGGCUCAGACGACGGCUGGCGGCGCGCUUAACACAUGCAAGUCGAGCGAUGAAAUUCGACAGAACCCUCGGGGUGAAGAUGAAAUGGAUUAGCGGCGGACGGGUGAGUAACACGUGAGUAACCUGCCUUUGACAUUGGGAUAGCCUCGGGAAACUGGGAUUAAUACCAAAUGACACUAACUGGUCACAUGAUCAAUUAGUCAAAGAAAUUCGGUCAAAGAUGGACUCGCGGCUGAUUAGCUAGUUGGUGAGGUAACGGCCCACCAAGGCGACGAUCAGUAGCCGGCCUGAGAGGGUGACCGGCCACAUUGGAACUGAGACACGGUCCAAACUCCUACGGAAGGCAGCAGUGGGGAAUAUUGCACAAUGGGGGAAACCCUGAUGCAGCGACGCCGCGUGAGCGAAGAAGGCCUUCGGGUCGUAAAGCUCUUUUAUGAGGGAAGAUAAUGACGGUACCUCAAGAAAAAGCCCCGGCUAACUACGUG